ACAAUUCAUUUUAUUUCUUACUUACAGUCGUCGUACUAACAUUUCUAAAAUUCAAAAAGUUAUGAAUAUUCAAAAUUUUCGAAAAGUUUGGAAAAACCAUUGCUUUAAACAUGGGUGAAUAUCAUAUUAUGUGCAGCAGCGUCAAUUACACGAAACGAAACAUCAAUUAGUAGUACAUGCUAAUUAACACAGAAACUAUACCAUACCUGAUAUAUUUUUAUAACGAAAAAGGAAACAGGAUGGUGAGAAGAAACAAUUUUUAUCUUUUGCUUAAGAUAAUUCUUGCCCCAACUAUAUAUACUUAUGAUCAUAUAUUCGCAAGAAUAUGCUCGUAACGAACCAAACAGACAAGCGUUCUUAUAAGCGGUCUUCUUCUUCUAUAUAUAAAGUGCAAAUCUGUUGAACGAAGCUGACGGUACCGGCCCCACCGCUUGAGUCACGACUUUAGCGAUGAGGGUAUAGAGGGUUGCGAUUAGCCAAGAAUAAAUAUACAAUUAAUGAAACUUUUGGAGUUGCACAAAUUCACUGAAGAAAGAAAUCUUGGAAGCCAUCUACUCCCCACUACAAUGAACUUCUUCUUGGCCACAUGGUAGAGGUUCUCCUGUCGACAAACACUCUGAGCUCUAUUCCAAGUUGGGAGUACGAUAUGGCUCUUGUGCUCAUCAUUGCUCAGUCUAAAUACGAAAUGAGUCAAACAAUAAAGCACAGCGAUUUCCAAUA
Long non-coding RNA from Scaptodrosophila lebanonensis, 720 nucleotides. RefSeq lists it as uncharacterized. Lineage: Eukaryota; Metazoa; Arthropoda; Insecta; Diptera; Drosophilidae. The record is from RefSeq and is a predicted model, not a curated record. The transcript is spliced from 4 exons.